UGCCAACAGAACUGAGAUGGAAUGUCACA
Molecule: non-coding RNA, 29 nt
Filed under: Rattus norvegicus (Norway rat)
Lineage: Eukaryota; Metazoa; Chordata; Mammalia; Rodentia; Muridae
Source: RNAcentral